GAUCGUUUCAAGAACUAUCAUUUGAAGUAUCAUCAAGCUUGGAGGAGGAAAGGUAUACGUUUGGUAUCGAAGAAUUGAGUGUUAGAGGUAGUGGAAGAUAUAAAUCACCAAAUUUAUGCUCUGAAUUAGAAAGGUUGUUGGACUAUUGUGAAGACUCCAAUGUCCAUGAAAAACAGACAUUAUUAAUGAGUUUACAUGGCAUUCUGAUAAUAAAAAGAAUACUUUGACUCGGGGAAUUAAAGAAAUUUUCCCACAUUCUACAAAAAAGUAAAUAGUUGUUGGAUGUGAAAAUAUGUAUCUCCUUUUGAGAGUAUAAUGUAGUAAAUAGGAUUAUGGAACAAUAUAAUUUAUAAAUGUAUUAUAGUAAUUUCUUGGAAUACUGUACACAACCUUCA
This is a long non-coding RNA of Dendronephthya gigantea, 395 nucleotides long. RefSeq lists it as uncharacterized. The record is from RefSeq and is a predicted model, not a curated record. The transcript is spliced from 3 exons. NCBI's taxonomy places the organism in Eukaryota, Metazoa, Cnidaria, Anthozoa, Malacalcyonacea, Nephtheidae.